AGGUCGGACAGCCGCGCAGCCAGGGCGAAAGGCCUGGCUGUGAGGAAAGUCCGGGCUCCACAGGGCAAGGAUAACGGGUAACGCCCGCCGGGGGUGACCCCAGGACAAGUGCAACAGAGAGAUACCGCCGCCCAUGGGCGGCAAGGGUGAAAAGGUGCGGUAAGAGCGCACCCGGCCCAUGGAAACAUGGGUUCUACGAUGUAAACUCUAUCCGGAGCAACGCCGUGGAGGGACAUAUGGCCUGCCCGGCCGUCCCAGGGAGGCGGCUUGAUCCCAGAAGCAAUUUUGGGGCUAGAUAGAUGGCUGUCAAGACAGAACCCGGCUUACAGACCCGGUCG
Molecule: RNase P RNA, 338 nt
Filed under: uncultured Faecousia sp.
Lineage: Bacteria; Bacillati; Bacillota; Clostridia; Eubacteriales; Oscillospiraceae
Description: Bacterial RNase P class A
Rfam family: Bacterial RNase P class A
About the family: Ribonuclease P (RNase P) is a ubiquitous endoribonuclease, found in archaea, bacteria and eukarya as well as chloroplasts and mitochondria.
Source: RNAcentral